Dermochelys coriacea (leatherback sea turtle) is the source of this 852-nucleotide long non-coding RNA. RefSeq lists it as uncharacterized. The transcript has 3 exons. NCBI's taxonomy places the organism in Eukaryota, Metazoa, Chordata, Testudines, Dermochelyidae. The record is from RefSeq and is a predicted model, not a curated record.
AAGUGUGCUCUUCAGAUGGAUAAAGCCAAAGGCCAUUUGCUAGCUGGCUCCCCCAUUUUUUCCUGUAGUCCUUUCCAAUGUGGCAGCAGGACUGUCAGUCAGAGCUUCUGCACUCCCUACCCCAGCUACUGUAGGUCCCAGAACCGUCUGCCCUGCUCAGAAGUGCCAAUCUCUCGCCGAGAACUCUCCCCUCCGGCCGAGUGAUGUGCUGCAAGAACUGUGCAGAUUGAUUGAUUUGAGGAUAAAGAGAAAGGACUGAGAAAAAAAAUAAAAAAACAUUCAGCCAGUUGUUACGGCUUCUUCGAUAAUCAUUGAAACUUUCUAAUAUGGCACUGGGGGCAACCCUAUCAGAACUUUCCUCUAAGACUCUUAAUAUACAAUGCAGUGUUCUAGAGACGCUUGAGAUGAGGAGGAAAAAAUGCUUUCAAGGUUCACCAUGUUUCUAUGUACUACAAUCAGAUUUGCUUUGUAUUGCUUUUUGUUCUUUAUUUCACAAGACUGCUGCAUAACCAACAUCAAUAAAAUAUAUACCCCAAAAAGGGGGGGGAGUGUAAAAUUAAACGUGGUGAUUCUAAGUGGAAGCCUUUGAACUAGUGUCUGUUGUAAUGUGUGACGUUUUUCUUGUUUUGCUCUGCUUGCAAGCCUUUCCUUGCCCUUGGAAUCUAUUAACCCGCAAAAAAAUCUGGAUAAAUGCUUUUUGCUUUGCUGUCAUGCAAAACUUAAAGCUUUUGGUGUUUCUAUGCAGGUUAUUUUUCACUGAAAGAUGUAAAUAUAAAAUGUUUUACAUCUCUCCUAGGGUCAGACCAGUCAGACUUUUUUUUUUAAAUUAAUAAAAUUUUUCAAUAAUUGAAA